GGGGAUUUAGCUCAGUAGCAUAAGCACCUGCCUUGCAAGCAGGCGGUUAUGAGUUCGAUCCCUGGUACCCA
This is a transfer RNA of Cavia porcellus (domestic guinea pig), 71 nucleotides long. It matches the Rfam family "tRNA". From Rfam's summary of the family: Transfer RNA (tRNA) molecules are approximately 80 nucleotides in length. Their secondary structure includes four short double-helical elements and three loops (D, anti-codon, and T loops). Further hydrogen bonds mediate the characteristic L-shaped molecular structure. tRNAs have two regions of fundamental functional importance: the anti-codon, which is responsible for specific mRNA codon recognition, and the 3' end, to which the tRNAs corresponding amino acid is attached (by aminoacyl-tRNA synthetases). tRNAs cope with the degeneracy of the genetic code in two manners: having more than one tRNA (with a specific anti-codon) for a particular amino acid; and 'wobble' base-pairing, i.e. permitting non-standard base-pairing at the 3rd anti-codon position. Lineage: Eukaryota; Metazoa; Chordata; Mammalia; Rodentia; Caviidae. The record is from Rfam.